CUCAGCACUGGUCUGUCCUGAUUUGUUUUUGGGGAGGGCCAGGUAGGGUUUAAACAGCAUCUCUUUCAUAAGAAAGCAUUGAGCUAGCACUUCAAGAAAAAUGCUGCAGCCCUAGCUGCGACUGGCAGUGCCACAUAUAAAUCAAAAUGUGGAUGUAAUGCACUGGCAUGUACGUCUGUAAAGCAUUUCUCUCAUUUGUAUACAGCAAGCAAAUAUGGACCCUGCGUGUAAAAGGGAAAAAUCCUUAUGGGGCCUUGAUCCUGCAAAGGCCUUUGAUUCUGGGGCCUGACCAUGAUCUGCCUUUCAGGAUUGUUCUUUCAUCAGUGGUGUUUUCAUUUUCUGUCCUGAAGUUCUAACAGCAGCGUCAUGGGAGCGUCCGCGUGACCGGUCGCAGCCAAAGCCCAUGGCAAACAGUCGGUGUCUCUUUGGAUAAAACCUUCAAGGAGGCCUAGCACAGAAGGCCUAGUGGUAGUUGUCUGUGCCCCUGAGGAAAACUAUGCAGUUCUGGUGUUUCUACAGUAGAAUUUUUGGAAAAAUGAUCCAGAAGGAGAAACUUCAAAGUCUUGGACCACCAGUAGUUUGCAUGUUUCUCUUGACAAGAAUACGAGUUGGAGAAAUAGCCUGGGAAAACGUUAGAAUCUCUCCUGGAUUACUCUGUUCCGUAGCCAGCGAGAAGGAGCCUGCCAGACUUCUUCCCACUUCACCUGGAUUGCUGUCCUAUUUCGUUAUUUGUUUAUUGUACAAAGGAAAGUAUUGCGCACACACAGAGUGUAAAAUACUGGCAAGAAGGAUGAAUCAUUUCUGCAGGCUAUCCAGAAAAAAAGAUGUAUCCAGAAAAUGAACUAGGUGAUAAAGCAGCUGGAAGGGAAGCAGUGAGAGAGAUUUGCACACAGGGAGCAAAGGGCAGUCGGGAAGGCAGACCGCGUGACGGUGGUGGGCAGGAGAGCGACUCCUCCCCCUCAAAAUGCCACCCUGUAAUUGUGCCUUGUGCUGCUCCUCUGCCGCAGAGGARAGAGGCUGGCAAAGUCCAGGGAGCAGCAGAUUCUUCACCUCACCCCUCAUCUGGGUUCAAAGUGCAGCGUGCAGGAGCUCUUCGUGUAUAAAACGAUAAAACUCCUUUCUCACAGUGGUUUUGGCUGCAACGGUGGAUUCUGGGCUGUGUUUCUCCUGGCUGGGACUUUAUUAUCAAUUACCUUGGCCAGGAAGGUCAUGAUCCCUUAAAAAGAAAAAAGCAAACCCACCAUUUAUUGCUGGUUUUCAGCAGUUAGCUGACAGAUAUCAAAUGUGUAUGUGCUUUUGUUAUACACACACACACACCCCCGCACGCACGUGUGCGUCAGGGUACAGGGCAUUUCCUGGGGAUAAAUGACUAGAGUACUGUGGGUACAAGAUGCAGCCUAAGAGACCUAAACUGGUUGUUAAUGCAUAGGAAAUGCUCCGUGCUGAGACUCUUACAUUACAAGUUGACAGUAAAAAGCAGGCAGGGCUGCGUGUCUCUGUCUCUUGAGGAGAAGCAGCGUCCACGGCCACCUGGAGUCAUUAAGUGCCUGAAUCCUCCCUCCGCUUCCCCAGCGGUGCGUGUGCUGGGGGCAGCUAACAACAGAACUGGCUUCCUUUUGAAUCCAUGCUUUCUGUCAAUUGCUUGCUAUUAACAAUUUGGAUUGAAUUAGGGAAAAUCAAUAAAAUACAACCUCAACUGGGUUGAGAUUGUUUU
This 1714-nucleotide long non-coding RNA is filed under the name Apteryx rowi (Okarito brown kiwi). Its description in RNAcentral is "lncRNA (ENSARWG00000014728.1)". The record is from RNAcentral. Lineage: Eukaryota; Metazoa; Chordata; Aves; Apterygiformes; Apterygidae.